This 313-nucleotide RNase P RNA is filed under the name marine eukaryotic metagenome. RNAcentral's name for it is "Bacterial RNase P class A". It matches the Rfam family "Bacterial RNase P class A". Rfam says of the family: Ribonuclease P (RNase P) is a ubiquitous endoribonuclease, found in archaea, bacteria and eukarya as well as chloroplasts and mitochondria. The record is from RNAcentral.
UCGCGCCGCAAGGUGAGGAAAGUCCGAGCUCCAUAGGGCAGGGUGCCAGAUAACGUCUGGUGGAGGCGACUCUAAGGAUAGUGCAACAGAAAUAAACCGCCGUAAGGUAAGGGUGGAAAGGCGAGGUAAGAGCUCACCGCUUGUUUGGUAACAAACAGGGCAAAUGUAAACCCCACUUGGAGCAAGACCGUAAAGAACAAACGAAAGUUAACAGCUGCCCGCUGUGUUCUUGGUUGGUCGCUUGAUCCUAUUGGUGACAAUAGGACUAGAUAGAUGAUCGUUCACGACAGAACUCGGCUUAUCGGCUUGGUCA